RNAcentral lists this Y RNA (109 nucleotides) under Microcebus murinus (gray mouse lemur). RNAcentral's name for it is "Y RNA (ENSMICG00000038113.2)". It matches the Rfam family "Y RNA". From Rfam's summary of the family: Y RNAs are components of the Ro ribonucleoprotein particle (Ro RNP), in association with Ro60 and La proteins. The Y RNAs and Ro60 and La proteins are well conserved, but the function of the Ro RNP is not known. The record is from RNAcentral. Lineage: Eukaryota; Metazoa; Chordata; Mammalia; Primates; Cheirogaleidae.
AACUUAUGGUUCAAAGGUAGUGAGUUAUCUCAAUUGAUUGUUCAGUUAUAGAUCAAGCUCCCUGUUCUGCUUUUUCCCCCUUCUCACUACUGCACUUGACUAGUUUUAA